AUGGCCAUUCCACCAUUCUAUUAAUUCAGCUGCUUCAGGAUGAUGAGAAACAUGCUAAAACGAGUGGAUUCACAGAGUCCCUCCAGGGAUGCAAUAUUGUUUUUGAUUUACUACUUUUCUAGAUAGAGGAAGCUCUAAUGGCUUCCAUUUGGCCUUUCCCAGCAUAAUAGCUCUCACCCUACCAGUCACGAGCCAAUGUAGAGGUUCUGCCAUGUGCUGUCUGUAUCAGGAACCCUGAAGUUCUGUGCAGAGAGGGAGACAACCUGCCCUUCAUGUCUGCAGUGGGACCUGAGACUUCGCAUUUCUAAUAAGCUCUGGUUGAUGCAGAUGCUGUUGGCCUGGGGACCACACUUUGAGGAGCAGGGCUUUAAAGAUGUGAUUUCUUUGAAUAGGUUAACAGACUGAGAAACCAAACCCUCUGCCUACAGUUUAUGAAAGAAAGAAGAAGUUACUGAAGUUACAGAAGUUACUGAAAGAAAGUUGACUGAAGAAAGAAUGGGAUAGACCAACACAGGGAUGGCCCAGAAUGCAAGUGGAAGAGGAGCCUCUCCCUUGUUCUGAGGCACUGUUUGAUAUUACG
Molecule: long non-coding RNA, 580 nt
Filed under: Callithrix jacchus (white-tufted-ear marmoset)
Lineage: Eukaryota; Metazoa; Chordata; Mammalia; Primates; Cebidae
Description: lncRNA (ENSCJAG00000067461.2)
Source: RNAcentral